CAACUUUCAGCAAUGGAUCUCUUGGCUCUCGCAUCGAUGAAGAACGCAGCGAAACGCGAUAUGUAAUGUGAAUUGCAGAUCUACAGUGAAUCAUCGAAUCUUUGAACGCACCUUGCGCUCCUUGGUAUUCCGAGGAGCAUGCCUGUUUGAGUGUCAGUAAUU
Molecule: ribosomal RNA, 162 nt
Filed under: Rhizopogon verii
Lineage: Eukaryota; Fungi; Basidiomycota; Agaricomycetes; Boletales; Rhizopogonaceae
Description: 5.8S ribosomal RNA
Rfam family: 5.8S ribosomal RNA
About the family: 5.8S ribosomal RNA (5.8S rRNA) is a component of the large subunit of the eukaryotic ribosome. It is transcribed by RNA polymerase I as part of the 45S precursor that also contains 18S and 28S rRNA.
Source: RNAcentral